RNAcentral lists this unclassified non-coding RNA (201 nucleotides) under Hevea brasiliensis (rubber tree). Lineage: Eukaryota; Viridiplantae; Streptophyta; Magnoliopsida; Malpighiales; Euphorbiaceae. The record is from RNAcentral.
AUACAAAGUAAUUAGCCAAUGCAAUUUUCUAAAUUUCCUUGCGGUUCUCCUAAGAACCGAACAACAGAACCUAGCAUGACUGAAAUUCCAAGUAUAUUUCAAGAAAAGCAUUACGAACCCAUAAUUACAACCCAAAGGAACACUAUCUCUAACAGUUGUAAGUGGUUGAAAAAACUUGAAAUAAACAGUUGUUCAACUUUC